GUAAAUAAUAAAGGGCGUAUGGUGGAUGCCUAGGCUCUCAGAGGCGAUGAAGGACGUGAUAAGCUGCGAAAAGCUCCGUUUAGGUGCAAAUAACCUUUGAUGCGGAGAUCUCCGAAUGGGAUAACCCAAUAUGUUGAAGACAUAUUAUACCGUAAGGUAGGCAAACGCAGGGAACUGAAACAUCUAAGUACCUGCAGGAGAAGAAAACAAACGUGAUUCCCCCAGUAGCGGCGAGCGACCGGGGAAAAGCCCAAACCGUUAUUGUUUCGGCAUUAACGGGGUAGUAGGACUGCAAGCUUGAUGAAAUAAAUGAAAUGGAACACUUUGGAAAAUGUGAUCACAGAGGGUGAUAAUCCCGUACAUGCAAGUUUAUGAAUCAUAGCAGACUCCUGAGUAAGUCGGGACACGUGUAAUCCUGACCGAAUCCGCCGGGACCAUCCGGCAAGGCUAAAUACUCCUGAGAGACCGAUAGUGAACCAGUACCGUGAGGGAAAGGUGAAAAGCACUUCGAACAGAAGAGUGAAAUAGUCCCUGAACCCAUACGCCUACAAGCAGUCGGAGCCGCUUCGUGCGGUGACGGCGUGCCUUUUGCAUAAUGAGCCUACGAGUUACUCAUCACCAGCGAGGUUAAGUACUUCAGGUACGUAAGCCGAAGCGAAAGCGAGUCUGAAUAGGGCGUCAAGUUGGUGGUGGUAGACGCGAAACCUUAGUGAUCUACCCAUGGGCAGGGUGAAGGUUUGGUAACACAAACUGGAGGCCCGAACCGGUAAACGUUGAAAAGUUUUCGGAUGACCUGUGGGUAGGGGUGAAAGGCCAAUCAAACUGGGAAAUAGCUCGUACUCUCCGAAAUGCAUUUAGGUGCAGCCUCUGUUGUUUUGUUCUAGAGGUAGAGCUACUGAUUGGAUGCGAGGGCUUCACCGCCUAUCAAAUCCGGCCAAACUCCGAAUGCUAGAACAUGAAGACAGGGAGUGAGCCAGCGGGUGCUAAGGUCCGUUGACGAAAGAGGGAGAACUCAGACCAUCAGCUAAGGUCCCCAAUUGUAUGCUAAGUUGGAAUAAAAACGGGGUGGGACUGCUUAGACAGCUAGGAUGUUGGCUUGGAAGCAGCCAUUCAUUUAAAGAGUGCGUAACAGCUCACUAGUCGAGCGGUCCUGCAUGGAUAAUACGCGGGCAUAAGCAUAUAACCGAAGCUAUGGGAUUGUAGAUGAUACAAUCGGUAGGAGAGCAUUCCAUUCAGCAUAGAAGCAGUAUCGUGAGGUAUUGUGGAGCGGAUGGAAAAGCAAAUGUAGGCAUAAGUAACGAUAAUGCGGGUGAGAACCCCGCACGCCGAAAGAUCAAGGAUUCCCCGGCAAUGUCAAUCAUCCGGGGGUAAGUCGGAUCCUAAGGGUAAGCCGAGUGGCGAUCCCGAUGGCAAACAGGUUAAUAUUCCUGUACUGAUCAUAACUGCGAUGCAGCGACGCAGAGGUGACACUGCUGCGUACUGACGGAAUAGUACGUUGAAACCCGUAUUCUUUGAUACCGGUAGUGAAGCACGCCGGUAGAGAUGAAAGGUGAUAGUACCGCAAUGCUUCGGUUGCGCGGAUAACGCAGGUAAGCUGACUGCCAAGAAAACCUGCUAAGCUUCAGGUAAUGAUCAUCCGUACUGUAAACGGACACACGUGAUCAGGUAGAAAAUACUAAGGCGCUCGAGAGAUUCAUGGUUAAGGAACUAGGCAAAAUGGUCCUGUAACUUCGGGAUAAAGGACGCUCUUGUGAAAGAGCCGCAGAUAAUAGGCCCAGGCGACUGUUUACCAAAAACACAUGGCUAUGCUAAUUCGCAAGAAGAUGUAUAUGGCCUGACACCUGCCCGGUGCCGGAAGGUUAAGAGGAGAGCUCAGAUGUAAGUCGAAGGUUUGAAUUGAAGCCCCGGUAAACGGCGGCCGUAACUAUAACGGUCCUAAGGUAGCGAAAUUCCUUGUCGGGU
Molecule: ribosomal RNA, 1962 nt
Filed under: human gut metagenome
Description: bacterial LSU rRNA
Rfam family: Bacterial large subunit ribosomal RNA
Source: RNAcentral